GGUCAAGAUAUUAAGGGCUAGCGGGGGAUGCCUAGGCGCGCAGAGGCGAUGAAGGACGUGGCAAGCUGCGAAAAGCUUCGGGGAGGUGCUAAGCAACCUUUGAGCCGAAGAUGUCCGAAUGGGGAAACCCAAUAAUCCCGUGCUGAAUUCAUAGGCACGUGGAAGCGAACCCGGGGAAGUGAACCAUCUCAGUACCCGGAGGAAUAGAAAUCAAAAGAGACUCCGUCAGUAGCGGCGAGCGAACGCGGACCAGGGCAAACCGACGGGAUUCGUCCCGUCGGGGUUGUAGGACUCCAACAUGGGACCGUCGAAGUUAGCAGAAGCACCUGGAAUGGUGCCCGAUACAGGGUGACAGGCCCGUAUGCGACAACGGAAACGGCCUUAGGAUGUUCCUGAGUACCACAGGGCACGUGAAACCCGGUGGGAAUCUGGGAGGACCACCUUCCAACCCUAAGUACUCCUGCGCGACCGAUAGUGAACAAGUACCGUGAGGGAAAGGUGAAAAGUACCCCGAUUAGGGGAGUGAAAUAGUACCUGAAACCGCUAGCUUACAAGCCGUUCGAGGGCUAUGUUUCAAGCCUGAGAGCGUUCCUUUUGAAUGAUGAGUCCGCGAGUUACGGUUCGUCGCAAGGUGAAAGCCGAAGGGAAACCGAGUGCUAACUGUGCGUCGAGUGGCGGGCCGUAGACCCGAAGCGCUGUGAUCUACACAUGGCCAGGAUGAAGCGCGGGUAAAACUGCGUGAAGGUCCGGAUCCACCGAAGUUGAAAAUUCGGGGAAUGAGCUGUGUGUAGGGGUGAAAGGCUAAUCAAACUGCGUGAUAGCUGGUUCUCCCCGAAAGAUAUUUAGGUAUCGUCUCGAGUCAUUCACUGCCGGGGGUAGAGCACCGAACGGGUAAGGGGCCUCACCGGGUUACCAAACCUAAUCGAACUCCGAAUACCGGCAAGUGUUACCUCGGGAAGCAGGCUGCGGGAGAUAAGUUUCGUAGCCGAGAGGGAAAGAGCCCAGAUCGCCGGCUAAGGUCCCCAAAUCUGUGCUAAGUGGCAAACGAUGUGGGUUUGCCCAGACAACCAGGAGGUUGGCCUAGAAGCAGCCAUCCUUUAAAGAAAGCGUAAUAGCUCACUGGUCAAGUGAACCUGCGCGGAAAAUAUAACGGGGCUCAAGCACAGUACCGAAGCCGCGGGUUCCCGAAAGGGAGCGGUAGGGGAGCAUCGAAGACUGUCGAAGGUCGACCGCGAGGACGGCUGGAGGUCCUUCGAGGGCAAAUGCGGACAUGAGUAGCGAUAAAACGGGUGAGAAACCCGUUCGCCGGAAGCCUAAGGUUUCCUGGGCCAGGUUCAUCCUCCCAGGGUUAGUCGGGUCCUAAGCCGAGGCCUUCGGGCGUAGGCGAUGGGAAGCAGGUGAAUAUUCCUGCACUGCCGAGUUGGCGGAGAAGCCAGCAGGGACGGAGAAGGGUAGGUCGGCCGGUUCGCCGGUACAAGCACGUAGGGAGUCGCAUACGAUCAAAAGGUGCGGCAAUCCCGAGAUGUGAUGUGACUCCAACGCUACGGCUGCGGAGGAACCGAUUGAUCCCAUGCUUCCAAGAAAAGCUGCGGGUGGAGCUGUCUCGGCAUCCGUACCGCAAACCGACACAGGUAGGCAGGUGGAGAACACUAAGGCGCUUGAGAGAACUCUGGUGAAGGAACUCUGCAAAUUGACACCGUAACUUCGGGAUAAGGUGUGCCCUGGCUGGUGAAGAGGCUUGCCCUCGGAGCUGGCUGGGGUCGCAGCUAAGCGGGGAUAGCGACUGUUUACCAAAAACACAGGCUUCUGCUAACUCGAAAGAAGAUGUAUAGGAGCUGACUCCUGCCCGGUGCCGGAAGGUUAAGGGGACUGGUUAGCGCAAGCGAAGCCACGAACCGAAGCCCCGGUAAACGGCGGCCGUAACUAUAACGGUCCUAAGGUAGCGAAAUUCCUUGGCGGGUAAGUUCCGUCCUGCACGAAUGGAGUAACGACUUUCCCACUGUCUCCACCAGAGACUCAGCGAAAUUGAACUCGCAGUGAAGAUACUGCGUUCCCGCAGACGGACGGAAAGACCCCAUGAACCUUCACUGCAACUUGGCACUGACACUCGGGAUAGACUGCGUAGGAUAGGUGGGAGGCGACGAUACCGUCCUUCCGGGGGCGGAGAAGCCAACCUUGAAAUACCACCCUGUCUGUUCUGAGUGUCUAACCGCUGACCGUGAUCCGGUUACGGGACAAUGUCUGGUGGGCAGUUUGACUGGGGCGGUCGCCUCCCAAAAGGUAACGGAGGCGCGCGAAGGUUCCCUCAGCCUGAUUGGAAACCAGGCGCAGAGUGCAAUGGCACAAGGGAGCUUGACUGCGAGACUGGCAGGUCGAGCAGGUACGAAAGUAGGUCAUAGUGAUCCGGUGGUUCCAUGUGGAAGGGCCAUCGCUCAACGGAUAAAAGGUACUCUGGGGAUAACAGGCUGAUCUCCCCCAAGAGCUCACAUCGACGGGGAGGUUUGGCACCUCGAUGUCGGCUCAUCACAUCCUGGGGCUGAAGUAGGUCCCAAGGGUUCGGCUGUUCGCCGAUUAAAGUGGUACGCGAGCUGGGUUCAGAACGUCGCGAGACAGUUCGGUCCCUAUCCUCUGUGGGCGUAGGACACUUGAAAGGGAGCUUUUCUUAGUACGAGAGGACCGGAAAGGACGCACCUCUGGUGAACCAGUUGUCAUGAGGGCAUCGCUGGGUAGCUAAGUGCGGAAAGGAUAACCGCUGAAAGCAUCUAAGCGGGAAGCCCCCCCUGAGAUAAGGUGUCCCGGGCUUUUGCCCCUAAAGGGUCGUCGGAGACUACGACGUUGAUAGGCUGGGUGUGUAAGUGGUGCAAGCCAUUGAGCUAACCAGUACUAAUCGCCCGUGAGGCUUGACCAU
RNAcentral lists this ribosomal RNA (2908 nucleotides) under Myxococcales bacterium LLY-WYZ-16_1. RNAcentral's name for it is "23S ribosomal RNA". It matches the Rfam family "Bacterial large subunit ribosomal RNA". The record is from RNAcentral. Lineage: Bacteria; Pseudomonadati; Myxococcota; Myxococcia; Myxococcales.